Molecule: transfer RNA, 445 nt
Filed under: uncultured Bacteroidota bacterium
Lineage: Bacteria; Pseudomonadati; Bacteroidota
Description: uncultured Bacteroidetes bacterium partial 16S-23S ribosomal RNA intergenic spacer
Rfam family: tRNA (bases 89-162)
Source: RNAcentral
CCUCCUUUCUAGAGAAAGACGACUAAAGUGAUUACUAUUGAAAAAAAUAGUUUGUUCUCAUUGCUGUUAAUUAUAAUAAAUAAAGUAGAGUCUCAUAGCUCAGCUGGUUAGAGCGCUACACUGAUAAUGUAGAGGUCGGCAGUUCGAGUCUGCCUGAGACUACUAUUUACUUAAUACAUGUUAUUAAGUAUUUGGAAAUUUAGAAGUUGAGUAAAUGAUAUAAUUCAUUUAUAGAGUUAUUUAAUUACUCAUUUUUAUGGGGGAUAGCUCAGCUGGCUAGAGCGCCUGCCUUGCACGCAGGAGGUCAUCGGUUCGACUCCGAUAUUCUCCACUAACAGUUUUAUACUGUAAAAGUUCAUUGACAUAUUGAAAAAGAUACAUAAAAAUUUAGAUUAUUUAUAAUCUAAAGUAAUUCGAUUAAUUGUAGCGCGAGCAACAAUUAAUC